This 342-nucleotide long non-coding RNA is filed under the name Homo sapiens (human). RNAcentral's name for it is "non-protein coding lnc-SOWAHB-9:1". The record is from RNAcentral. Lineage: Eukaryota; Metazoa; Chordata; Mammalia; Primates; Hominidae.
CUACACAGCGUCCUCCGUGGCGAGCUGGAGGGAAGCGCUCUCAGCAGAGAGGGUCGCCCUCACCAAGAAGCCAAAGGGAAGAGGACAGAAUCUAUCUUGUAGGGACGCCCUUGGUCUUCAGAAGGAACACUUUUUCUGUUUCACAGAGAUCUGUGGAAUGUGUGGGUUCCCUGAAGAGGUGGACGGACCCCCGGGGUCGCGCGUUUUCUCAGCCCUGGGCCCGUAGCGGAGCUCGAUCCUUCCAGAGCUCAGGGCCAGAAAUGUUGCGAUUCCGAACACUUUGCCUUUCUUCUGAGAGGAGCCGCCCGGCAGACGCUCAUCAUUAAGAAGCAACGUAAUUAA